UGGGGAAUUUUGGACAAUGGGCGAAAGCCUGAUCCAGCAAUGCCGCGUGUGUGAAGAAGGCCUUCGGGUUGUAAAGCACUUUUGUCCGGAAAGAAAUCCUUGGCUCUAAUACAGUCGGGGGAUGACGGUACCGGAAGAAUAAGCACCGGCUAACUACGUGCCAGCAGCCGCGGUAAUACGUAGGGUGCAAGCGUUAAUCGGAAUUACUGGGCGUAAAGCGUGCGCAGGCGGUUUGCUAAGACCGAUGUGAAAUCCCCGGGCUCAACCUGGGAACUGCAUUGGUGACUGGCAGGCUAGAGUAUGGCAGAGGGGGGUAGAAUUCCACGUGUAGCAGUGAAAUGCGUAGAGAUGUGGAGGAAUACCGAUGGCGAAGGCAGCCCCCUGGGCCAAUACCGACGCUCAUGCACGAAAGCGUGGGGAGCAAACAGGAUUAGAUACCCUGGUAGUCCACGCCCUAAACGAUGUCAACUAGUUGUUGGGGAUUCAUUUCCUUAGUAACGUAGCUAACGCGUGAAGUUGACCGCCUGGGGAGUACGGUCGCAAGAUUAAAACUUAAAUGAAUUGACGGGGUCAUAGCUGUUUCCU
Molecule: ribosomal RNA, 585 nt
Filed under: uncultured bacterium
Lineage: Bacteria
Description: partial 16S ribosomal RNA
Rfam family: Bacterial small subunit ribosomal RNA
Source: RNAcentral